AGAGCUGUCCUUCAUGACAACAGAACCCACAACAACCAUGACUCUGAUCACCAUCUUCAUCUGGACUCUAGCUGUCUACAUACAGGAGUCCAGAGGGCAGUACACUUUGACUCAGACUCCUGCAGUGAAAGCUGUUCUUGCAGGAGAUACAGUCUCUAUAGGAUGUAGAGUUAGCAGUCCUGUGUACAGUAGUAAUUAUCUAGCCUGGUACCUCCAGAGACCAGGAGAAGCUCCUAAACUCCUCAUUUACUACGCUACAACACUUCAGUCUGGGAUUCCAUCUCGAUUCAGUGGUAGUGGAUCUGGGAGUGACUUCACUCUGACCAUCAGUGGAGUCCUGGCUGAAGAUGCAGGAGAUUACUACUGUCAGAGUUACCACAGUGGUGGAGUGUUCACACAGUGAUACAGAGCCGUACAAAAACCUCCCUCAGUCAGACUGCACAGUGACUGCACUGCUACAGCUGGGACCUACUGCAGGUGCU
Hypomesus transpacificus is the source of this 482-nucleotide non-coding RNA. NCBI's taxonomy places the organism in Eukaryota, Metazoa, Chordata, Actinopteri, Osmeriformes, Osmeridae. The record is from the annotation of a RefSeq genome assembly.